AACUAUAUUUGUAGAAUGGAAUGCUGCAUGCUCUGCCCUAUUGUGACUCACCAGAAAAGGCUCUUGUGAACAUCUCUGUUGGCUGCUUCUGUUGUGGGGAUGGUUUGUAACCAGAAAACUGACUGUUCAUACAUCUCCUUUUGAGUUAUGUACAGGGUUACCUUCUGAUUUGGUUUUACAUGGUGAAGUUCCUUGGUUUAUUCAGUACUACUUAUAAAAGUCAAUGAGUCUCAUAAAUCCAAGCAGUAAAAUAAUAUCAUCCCAGAUAAAUUUCAGAAAAGUGGAAAUUAAAUUGCAGUAGAAAAAAAAAACACCAAACAACAAUUAUACAAUCUAUCCAUUCAUGUGGCUGGAUUUCAAAUCAGAGGUGCUCUUUCAGAAGCAGACACAGCAGAUGGAGAGAUGAAUUUCUGAACUAUUAUCAGCUUUGGAAAACUUCUGUAAAAAGACCAUGAUGCACCUCCAGAGUCAUUAUGCUUGGGUCCUACCUAACUCAACUGAUAGAUGAAGUAUGGAAGAGCUACUACAAGGACUGAAACAUAGUCUCAUUUCACCGAGUCCCAUUUACAGCUUCUUUCUUCAUAUGAAAAUGCUGUUUGGAACAAUGAGGUGCAGAAAUCCUUUUGUGGUACAGAGGGACCAACAGCAGAACCAAGGAAUGUGGGGAAAACUGCCUCUGCAUCAAGAACAUCAGAUAUUUUCUCUCCUCACUGAACAUCCUGCAUUCUCCCCUCAGGACUCAAGAAAAGCUCAGUGGAGAAGGACAGUUCCAGGCAGAAGUACAAAUUCUAUUGUAGCAGACUGGAGGAAGAGAAAUCUUAAACCAAGGGCAUUUAAUCACCUGCAGAGUGAGAGAGGCUGAAAAGAAAAAUGAAUUCACUGCCUUCUAGAUCUGUCUGUGAACAAUUUAUGUUUGAACUUCUCUUAAAUAAUUUUCGGCACAAUAUUUCUGGUCUAAAAGUAUAUGAAAUAGCGUCUGAAACCAGCCUUCUUUUGCAGCACUGAGAAGUCCUCUUUCUGAGUCCUUUAUGUUUUCCCUUUAUGUAUUCUUUCAUGUUGUGCUCUGCUUUCUGAUGGGUGAUACGUGAUGAGGAAUUGGGAAGCGGCAAGCUUUGUGGCCCUGCUGCCAGUGUGCUUCAUACAUUGCGAAGAAGCAGACCCACAUUAUAAAACCAACUGAAAACCACGGUGGUACCUCUCUAAAAAAUGUAAUGGACUGUACUGAAAGCCUAACUCUGACUGAUGUGAGGUUUGGGACUUUAUCCAGGUAAGAAUUCAUGCAGCAAUGAGCACAGAUAAGGCAGAUGACCCAGAGUAGGGCCAAACUGUUUACCAGCAGAUGUGUUUUUGAAAAUCUUCCUUAACUGGUCAUGGCAGCGGAAAAUACCCUGCUGUUAAACGCAUCUGCAAUCCACUGCGCUCCCAAUCCACCUACAAAAAUUCUGACCUUUAAAGAAAUGAUGGAGAAGCUGGUGAUUUUUUCCAUGGCAUUGAAGCUCAGUCUAUUUUAGGCUCCAAGGCAAUUGCAGCCCUUUUUGCUCCCUAUUUCACAUCACUUUUAAGUCUUGUUCUGGCCACUAUGAACCCUUCAGCACUUCUCCCUGUGCAAUCACUCGAGUCAAGAUCUGUGAUUUGUGAUUUGCAGAUGACAUGUACAUUUCUUGGCUGAUGGCUGUUAAGGCAGUUUGCAAACCUAAGGCAAUAAACUGCAGGGAUGCAUUUGGAUCUGUUUUGCC
Molecule: long non-coding RNA, 1736 nt
Filed under: Coturnix japonica (Japanese quail)
Lineage: Eukaryota; Metazoa; Chordata; Aves; Galliformes; Phasianidae
Description: lncRNA (ENSCJPG00005008222.1)
Source: RNAcentral